CCCCGACUCCACCUUCUUCUUCCUCUUUUUUUUCUUUUUCUUUUUCUUUCUUUUCUUUCAUUUUCUCUUCCUCUCUUUGGCAGCCACGACCAGGACCACAACCAGACCCACCCACCGUCGACCUCCAUUUUCGACACGCGACGACCCUCUAGAUUCACCUUGCUCCGACGCUAUCAAACACUAAGUGGCGCCGCCUAACUUGCUCUCAACAACCCGGAAUUGCAAGUCAAAGUUUUGGUCCAUCAACUUUGACUCCAUUUUCCGGGAAACUCCAGUGUCCAUUCAACAAACUGUUUCCGCCAUUGAACUCAGCUCAUCGAGGAGAACAAAACCCAACAAGCCUUUGCAAUUAAUUCGUCACUUUUAUCCAAUGAGAUUUUGAAAUCUUCGCUCCUUUGAGAGAGUUUUUCGGCGACACCGUGGGUUAUUUGGGCAAAUAAGUUGUACUUUCGUGAUGUCAUCAAGAUGAUCGUUUUAAUAGAUAGAAAGUCAAUUUCUGUCUCCACUGCCGGUGCACCAUCACCGAUCACCGCGAACGGCCAAUCUGUGCGAUUGAGGAUUGUAGGACAAAGUGACUUGGAAGCGGGCUAAACUACUUGGAACCUAGCAAUAGGGCUUAUGAGCGUCCUCUUUGUAUAGAUGAUAACAAUCCUAAGGAGGGUCAAAAAUAAAAAGAGGGAAAGUGGACCACAAAAAAUUUCAAUCAAAUUUUUAUUGCCUAUAGCAACGAUGGUCGUCGCUAUAGACUGGGCGUAACACGUGGCAUGAUUCAUGUACGAUUCACUUAUCUACAGCGACAACAUGUCGUCGCUGUAGGGUCUAACCGUUUGAGUGAACGGUGCGUUCAACCUCGGCGACGACUUACUUAUACUUUAUAGCGACGACAUGUCAUCGUUAUAGAGUUUAUCGAUAUAACUUCCCAGGCGUUGUCUUCUUCCACAUUUUCCCCCUCUCUCAAAAAUUACAGAGAGCGAAAACCAGACCCACCGUCGCCCUCCAUCGCCCCAUGGUUUCCCAUCCCAUUUUUGGACUUCUCCACCGCUCUCCUCUGCCCCACGGUGUCCCAACGCAUGUUCUGAAAAGAUUUUUGUAUUAAUAUUUGUGGUUAUUUAGUUUUUUGUAAAAAAUUGUUUUUGAUGUUUGUUUUUUUCUUUUCUUUUUUCAGAUAACAGAAGAAUUAGGGUAUUGCUCAGAUUGUAGAGAUCCUCCCUUGGGUAUUGUUUUUAAUUGUGUUUUUUUUUUUGGUGAUUGAUGAAUGUAUUGAUGUAUGUUUAAUUUAUAUUUUAUAGGUGUGUGAUUAGUUAUUUCAGAUAGUGCUAAUUUUUUUCAUAUUCAUUUUAAAGAAUUACAGGAUUAUUAGAAGUAUAUUUAUUUGUUAAAUUAAUUA
Long non-coding RNA from Humulus lupulus (European hop), 1387 nucleotides. RefSeq lists it as uncharacterized. The transcript has 3 exons. The record is from RefSeq and is a predicted model, not a curated record. Lineage: Eukaryota; Viridiplantae; Streptophyta; Magnoliopsida; Rosales; Cannabaceae.